GACUCGAUCACAUAAUCCGCCUCGUCUCUCUACCUCACAUAGCGUCGUCCCGGACGCGUCCUCCCUCCUCAUCGCAUCCACUGCCGCCUCAAACCACUCCUCGCAUCCACCACUACAACCACUUCUCGCAUCCGCAGUCAGCAUCGCCUCCUCCUCCUCACUUCCUCAUGCCAGCUGAUCCGUCGCCACAAGCUCGAGGGCAGGGAAAUCUGCUGCCACAAGCUCCCCGUCUCCUUCUCCCAGUCGAGCGCUGAUGCAAGCUUAAUUAAGGCUAGAUCCGGACUAUAGCGGAUGGGACCACGAUGAUGGAGGCAACAACCAACAACAAGCGACGGCUGAUCUUGAGGAUUUGGGGAUCUUUAGUUUAUUCGGUUCUCUUAUCUGUUAAGGAUUUGGGGAUGUUGUUUUUCCCUUUGAUGCUGCAAUGGAUAGUUAGGUAUUGGGUAGCAGAUGUAUUCUAAUUUGAGUAUUAUUGCAUUAUGCCAAAAAUUUAUGAUUCAUUUUGUGAUUUGUGAUGUUGAUAAUAAUAAUGUGUUUGAUGAAGAAAAAUUUGG
RNAcentral lists this small RNA (554 nucleotides) under Oryza sativa Japonica Group (Japanese rice). RNAcentral's name for it is "sRNA Os01g0757051". The record is from RNAcentral. Lineage: Eukaryota; Viridiplantae; Streptophyta; Magnoliopsida; Poales; Poaceae.